GUGGAUUAGAUACCCUGGUAGUCCUGGCAGUAAACGGUGCACGCUUGGUGUGAGGGGAAUCGACCCCCCUUGUGCCGGAGCAAACGCGUUAAGCGUGCCGCCUGGGAAGUACGGUCGCAAGACUAAAACUCAAAGAAAUUGACGGGGACCCGCACAAGCGGUGGAGUAUGUGGCUUAAUUCGAUGCAACGCGAAGAACCUUACCAAGGCUUGACAUGGAUUUCUAAGCACGUGAAAGCGUGUGACCCUUCGGGGGACUUCCACAGGUGCUGCACGGCCGUCGCCAACU
RNAcentral lists this ribosomal RNA (288 nucleotides) under uncultured bacterium. Its description in RNAcentral is "partial 16S ribosomal RNA". It matches the Rfam family "Bacterial small subunit ribosomal RNA", at positions 773 to 1060 of the family's 1533-position model. The record is from RNAcentral.